RNAcentral lists this ribosomal RNA (870 nucleotides) under Rhodoferax antarcticus. Its description in RNAcentral is "bacterial SSU rRNA". It matches the Rfam family "Bacterial small subunit ribosomal RNA", at positions 57 to 922 of the family's 1533-position model. Lineage: Bacteria; Pseudomonadati; Pseudomonadota; Betaproteobacteria; Burkholderiales; Comamonadaceae. The record is from RNAcentral.
GCAGUCGAACGGCAGCAUAGGUGCUUGCACCUGAUGGCGAGUGGCGAACGGGUGAGUAAUGCAUCGGAACGUGCCCAAUCGUGGGGGAUAACGCAGCGAAAGCUGUGCUAAUACCGCAUACGAUCUACGGAUGAAAGCGGGGGACCUUCGGGCCUCGCGCGAAUGGAGCGGCCGAUGUUAGAUUAGGUAGUUGGUGAGGUAAAGGCUCACCAAGCCGACGAUCUAUAGCUGGUCUGAGAGGACGACCAGCCACACUGGAACUGAGACACGGUCCAGACUCCUACGGGAGGCAGCAGUGGGGAAUUUUGGACAAUGGGCGAAAGCCUGAUCCAGCAAUACCGCGUGCAGGAAGAAGGCCUUCGGGUUGUAAACUGCUUUUGUACGGAACGAAAAGGCUCUUUCUAAUAAAGAGGGCUCAUGACGGUACCGUAAGAAUAAGCACCGGCUAACUACGUGCCAGCAGCCGCGGUAAUACGUAGGGUGCGAGCGUUAAUCGGAAUUACUGGGCGUAAAGCGUGCGCAGGCGGUUUUGUAAGACAGGCGUGAAAUCCCCGGGCUCAACCUGGGAAUUGCGCUUGUGACUGCAAGGCUAGAGUACGGUAGAGGGGGGUAGAAUUCCGCGUGUAGCAGUGAAAUGCGUAGAUAUGCGGAGGAACACCGAUGGCGAAGGCAGCCCCCUGGACCUGUACUGACGCUCAUGCACGAAAGCGUGGGGAGCAAACAGGAUUAGAUACCCUGGUAGUCCACGCCCUAAACGAUGUCAACUGGUUGUUGGGAAUUUACUUUCUCAGUAACGAAGCUAACGCGUGAAGUUGACCGCCUGGGGAGUACGGCCGCAAGGUUGAAACUCAAAGGAAUUGACGGGGACCC